AGUCAGGGAGCAGCUGGGCUGCGUCUGUUUGCUGUAGCUAUGUGGGCUGCAGGGUAGAAAAGAAGAAUCUCCAGCCUGGAGGAGGCAGAUGAGGGAGUGUCUUGAAGAACAGUGGAUGUGGGUGAGGGAGGCAGCAGGUCUUCUUCUCUCUGCUGAGGAGCUGUCGCUGCAGGGAAGCUCUCUCCCCAAAGGGCUUGGUGACACACAGGUGACGAGCUGGUAGAUCUGGCAGCAGCUGCGUGGUGCUGCUGCGAUCUUGUGCGGAAGGCUGUGUCUGCUGCUGAGCGCGUCUUGGGCUGCCUCCUGCUGAAGAAGUGACUGGACUGUGGAGGAAGACAACCCCAUCAUCUGCUGGCAGGAUGGCACAGGCCACGGGUGUGACACAGAUGCUGUCCCCAUCCAUGUGAGCUCUCUGUGACAGAUGCCAGCCCCAGAGCCCUAGCUCAGAGCUCUCCCACCGUGCUGCCCGAGCUGUAGCACUGGUGUGGACGACCUCACAGGGGCAACCCAGCAGGGUUCUGCAGGCUACAGGGUCUCCAAUGCUGGCAGGCACCACACAUGGACAGCCCACGGUCACUGCAGUGCUGGAGCUGCUGUGAAAGGCGCUGUUGGGCAGAGGCCGUGGGAAGCGACAGGAGGGGAUUCAGGCGGCUGCUGUGCGGGGGCUGGAGGUGGUGAAGUUUUGCCACGGACAGGAUGGAGCUGGUGUGGCUGCAGGUGAUGCUGAUCCACGUGCAGCAUGUCGCUGCCGUGACCUGGCUGUUUCCAGUGGUCAGGCUGCUCUGAUAACCUGUUUUAUGGGAUUGACUUCUCUCAGGCCUUCGUGGACAGCCCUGAGAGGAGCCGUGGUGUCUCCUCCAGCCAAAUGCUCAUCAACCUGCACAACAAUGAGGCAGGGAGGAAGGGCAGCCCCAUGCUCCCAGAGGAGUCUGCAUCCUGCUGCCUUUCCUGGCCCAGCACUGUGCUGAUUACCCUGAGCUGGCUCCUGCCUGCGUGGAGGGGGGUCCCAGCCUCCCCUCCACUCUUCUGUGCAGUCUCCUUUUCCUCACACCCCACCUAUCAUUUAGGAAAUAAUUCACUCUAUUCUGCUCUGAAGGGCUUCCCUGCC
Molecule: non-coding RNA, 1108 nt
Organism: Cyanistes caeruleus (blue tit)
Lineage: Eukaryota; Metazoa; Chordata; Aves; Passeriformes; Paridae
Source: RefSeq, a predicted model, not a curated record